Electrophorus electricus (electric eel) is the source of this 3228-nucleotide non-coding RNA. The record is from RefSeq and is a predicted model, not a curated record. NCBI's taxonomy places the organism in Eukaryota, Metazoa, Chordata, Actinopteri, Gymnotiformes, Gymnotidae.
AUGUGUCUUGACUGAAUCUCUAUCUGAUUGAGCCAUGGAGAAACACUCUAUCGAAAACCCUUUUAAAUGCCUUUUCCUGACCUGCUGUAGCUUAGCAAUAGAAUCUUACACGUGGUUACAUCAUAGGUAGAGGUCAUAAGUAGGUAACGCAUCGCAUCCGAGACAAGGCAAGUAUUUCCUGGCGCAUUUAGGAGCGCCUCCCGUUACCCAAGGUGACUGCUCUAGGUCCCUGAGCUAAUAACACGCUCAGCUGCUUUGGCUGUUCAGCUGGGCUCCAUCUCGCCAUACGGCAGUGUGACUCUGUUCUCCUGAUGAACGGAAAGACUCAUCUACAAAACCGCUACGGAGAGACCCCAGAAGCAUUUAACCCCAGGAGUUUUCAAAGUAAACGACUGGCCUAGAAAUGUUCAAAUUGAUUAGUGUGCUGCUCAGAGGGUCUGACGGUUCACUUUGUGUGUAGUGACCUUCAGUGCUGAUUGGCCAAGAUGGCACAGAGUGCCUUUGCUCAAGACAGAGAAGCAUCUAGAGAAGCAGUGCUGUUUUCUAACUUGGACCAAACACAAGGCCAAAUCAAGUAGUUGGACUGUGGUUCUGCAGGCGUACGCUUGUAAGCGGGCCAGUAUUGUUCUAAAGGCCAUGCUCUGUGAUACCAGAUACCGGAUGAGGUGCUGGAAUGCCGCUGGCUGCCCGUCUCCCUGAGCAACAUGUACACAGAACAAAGUGAGAAAUUAUGUCUCUGAAAUGGAUUGGUUUACUUGAUCUCUUGCUAGGAAUCUUAUUGAAGUCUCUAACUGUGUGUAUGUGUGUGUGUGUGUGUGUAGAAUGUGUUCUGGCUUUGUCUGGGCUGGUGUUGUGCAUUCCUGAUUCCUGGUGUUGUCUUCAGCAUUCUCGCGGCCAGGCUGUGGCAGCCAAAGAGCCCAGCUGUCAGCAAGGAGCUGUUUGGAAUGCCGGAUGACAUCAUUGAUAAAGCCAAAUCGAACAGCUACAUGAGCAGGGAUGAUGGUUCAGGCAGAAGGUAAGGUGUUGUCAUGUCACACAUUAUUCAUGUCAUGGGUGUUAUGUAGAAUAGGCCCAUUGCACAUCCUCUACAGUUUCAAACACACAGCUGUGUGAAACGGCUGGAACAUGCAACAAUGACCAUCUGGGUUCCCCCUUUGGACCAGUUUUAACAGCAAAAUGAGGACCUCGCAUAUAUGUAAAUUCAGCACUGCCAUGUGGUCUACAGCGAACGUGCUCAUGGACUCAGUACUGCCCCAAGAGCGUCCUUUUAAAACCAAAAUCGUUCACUCAGUCCAAAAGCACAAAAAUCUUAAAUCUUUGACUCUGGACACAUUUUAAGCAGAAACGUAGCAGGGCUUAAGUUUGCGCGUAGCUUGAGCAUUAGCGCUACAUGUAUUUUUUUUUGUGCUUGUGAUUGACGAGCAGAACGGACACUAUGAAGAUUAAUGCCAACAUGUACAUAACCCUGGAUGAAGUGACCAGCAGUAACGAAGACAAAGAAUGGAAAAAAGAGAAACGAAAGUGGGAAGCAGCACGUGAAGGGAGAGUCACCCGCCCCCAUGCAACACGCUGACAUGUAAAGACCCUGGAGGACAGGGGCAUUGCUUACAAAAGAUCACCGUCCCCUGCCCUGCGGGAGGCUUUAAUGGAUAGGUAUUUUUUUCUUUAUUUUUUACAUCUUAUCCAGUGUACAAUUACUAUGGGCCUGUUAAUGUGUGGUUUCUCUCUAUUUCCAGUCAGAGUUGAAAGUAUAUGCUUUCAGGCUCAAUCUCCGCUUACCGAGAUUUAUGUUUUAACGGUACUAACGCUAUAAAAAAAAUAAAAUACACACACACACAGACACACAAAAGUGAGGCUGUAGUAUAUGCGUGAAUCUCUAGGUGGCAGCAGCGAUCCAGUUUCGGUUUGGCCUGUCUUAUUAUUUUGCUGUAGUGCAGGGACAGGCGGUCUCAAUCGCUUAGCGGUUCUCUUGCCGUCACGCCCCUAAUUAUCCGAAACCCUGGCAGCGGGUAAUGGGGGAAGAACACACGGAGCUGUGCAGGACUCCGGUCCCGUACAGGGCUGGUGAACUUGUCCAGCUGGUGAACAGCCAUGUUUGUGUGCAGAAAGAGCAGGUGUCAAGAGCGUGUGUUAGACUGCACUCUGAGUGCCUUAUUGGUGAGUCCCAUAAAGACAAUGGAGGGGGGAAAAAAACAAACCGUAUCCUUUAGCUUUUUCAGCGGACAUCAAAACGUCACUGCUACACACACAAAAAAUGCGGCUGAUCUAUUCCAAGCUGUGCUAUUAUAUGUAGGCUGAAAGAGACUUUUCAAAAGAAGGGGAGACGGGGGACGGAGGGAGAGAGAGAGAGACAGAUCCAGCUCUGCUAUGACGAGUUCCCUGCGUGACUUUCGGCGGGUCAGACCGGCCGCACACGAACAGGCGCGGACGUUCAUUGGUGGCCAACAUCACUGUACCCAGGAGGUGCCGUGUUGCACUGCUAAACACAGCCAACCGAUACGCGUUGUUAAAGAGUCUACCCAACGAUUUCUAUAACAAAACUUUUACAAUCAUUUCAUAAUCGAUACAAACAUAUUUUCUUAGCUAAUAAAUGAAGUUGGCAAUGGAAUGAAAACAGGACACAGCAACUCUCUGCAAACAGUAAAAAAUAAAUAAAUUGAUUUGACAAAAACACAUUAACUAGAAAGUGUUCCCAUUCCAAACUGACGAGGAAAACAAAACCCCCAAAGUUUAAUGCAGAUUCCUUACACCAAUGGCUGUUCCCAGAGUUAAUUAACUAGAACGAAAGUUCAGUGGUGACGAAUCUCCAGAACAGCGUUAUUCCUGAGUUUAUGCUACACUACGUGCGCUGAACCGUGAUGCUGCAAUUUCCUAUUAAAAGUCCUCUUGCGCUAUAUAUCACUAAAGGAACAAACAGCUAAUAAUGCUUAAUGCUUUGUUUGCAAUAGCACAUUAACCAUUUAUUUUGUUCACGAUAGAAGAAAAAAAAGCAACUUUGUUUCUUUGGCAUAUAAAAGUAUUCUACGCUACAGGACUCAUAGCGCGUUUGAAAAAUAAAGGCUUCGAUAUUGUCAUUUUCAAAUUUGUGUUAUGGACGAACACAUUCAGUGCACCAUAAAUAACACAUCGCAAACAUCGAUUUAGCCCUCAGGAUCACAUGAGCCGUAUCCAUUUCCCACUGAAAUGAAACCAGGGAACUUGCUCAGAGAUGAAACAUUGUUGUGGCUA